This 642-nucleotide ribosomal RNA is filed under the name uncultured Actinomycetes bacterium. RNAcentral describes it as "bacterial SSU rRNA". It matches the Rfam family "Bacterial small subunit ribosomal RNA", at positions 232 to 885 of the family's 1533-position model. The record is from RNAcentral. Lineage: Bacteria; Bacillati; Actinomycetota; Actinomycetes.
CGCGGCCUAUCAGCUUGUUGGUGAGGUAACGGCUCACCAAGGCGACGACGGGUAACCGGCCUGAGAGGGUGACCGGUCACACUGGGACUGAGACACGGCCCAGACUCCUACGGGAGGCAGCAGUGGGGAAUAUUGCACAAUGGGCGCAAGCCUGAUGCAGCAACGCCGCGUGAGGGAUGACGGCCUUCGGGUUGUAAACCUCUUUUAGCAGGGAAGAAGCGAAAGUGACGGUACCUGCAGAAAAAGCACCGGCUAACUACGUGCCAGCAGCCGCGGUAAUACGUAGGGUGCAAGCGUUGUCCGGAAUUAUUGGGCGUAAAGAGCUCGUAGGCGGUUUGUCACGUCUGCUGUGAAAAUCCAAGGCUCAACCUUGGACUUGCAGUGGGUACGGGCAGGCUAGAGUGCGGUAGGGGAGAUGGGAAUUCCUGGUGUAGCGGUGGAAUGCGCAGAUAUCAGGAGGAACACCAAUGGCGAAGGCAGUCUUCUGGGCCGGUACUGACGCUGAGGAGCGAAAGCAUGGGGAGCAAACAGGAUUAGAUACCCUGGUAGUCCAUGCCGUAAACGUUGGGCACUAGGUGUGGGGUCUUCUAACGGAUUCCGUGCCGUAGCUAACGCAUUAAGUGCCCCGCCUGGGGAGUACGG